RNAcentral lists this unclassified non-coding RNA (245 nucleotides) under plant metagenome. RNAcentral describes it as "partial contains small subunit ribosomal RNA, internal transcribed spacer 1, and 5.8S ribosomal RNA". The record is from RNAcentral.
UCUCCGUUGGUGAACCAGCGGAGGGAUCAUUACCGAGUUUACAACUCCCAAACCCAAUGUGAACGUUACCAAACUGUUGCCUCGGCGGGGUCACGCCCCGGGUGCGUCGCAGCCCCGGAACCAGGCGCCCGCCGGAGGAACCAACCAAACUCUUUCUGUAGUCCCUUCGCGGACGUUAUUUCUUACAGCUCUGAGCAAAAAUUCAAAAUGAAUCAAAACUUUCAACAACGGAUCUCUUGGUUCUG